Non-coding RNA from Pristionchus pacificus, 61 nucleotides. Lineage: Eukaryota; Metazoa; Nematoda; Chromadorea; Rhabditida; Neodiplogasteridae. The record is from Rfam.
UCUUCAUUUCCCACACUCUCUCACCGGUCAGAGAGGCGGGACAGUGUGCGAAAUGGAGAGA